Molecule: ribosomal RNA, 884 nt
Filed under: uncultured fungus
Lineage: Eukaryota; Fungi
Description: eukaryotic LSU rRNA
Rfam family: 5.8S ribosomal RNA (bases 438-591)
Source: RNAcentral
UCUUGGUCAUUUAGAGGAAGUAAAAGUCGUAACAAGGUUUCCGUAGGUGAACCUGCGGAAGGAUCAUUAAAGAAAUUUAAUAAUUUUGAAAAUGGAUUUUUUUUUUUUUGUUUUGGCAAGAGCAUGAGAGCUUUUACUGGGCAAGAAGACAAGAGAUGGAGAGUCCAGCCGGGCCUGCGCUUAAGUGCGCGGUCUUGCUAGGCUUGUAAGUUUCUUUCUUGCUAUUCCAAACGGUGAGAGAUUUCUGUGCUUUUGUUAUAGGACAAUUAAAACCGUUUCAAUACAACACACUGUGGAGUUUUCAUAUCUUUGCAACUUUUUCUUUGGGCAUUCGAGCAAUCGGGGCCCAGAGGUAACAAACACAAACAAUUUUAUCUAUUCAUUAAAUUUUUGUCAAAAACAAGAAUUUUCGUAACUGGAAAUUUUAAAAUAUUAAAAACUUUCAACAACGGAUCUCUUGGUUCUCGCAUCGAUGAAGAACGCAGCGAAAUGCGAUACGUAAUGUGAAUUGCAGAAUUCCGUGAAUCAUCGAAUCUUUGAACGCACAUUGCGCCCCUUGGUAUUCCAGGGGGCAUGCCUGUUUGAGCGUCAUUUCCUUCUCAAACAUUCUGUUUGGUAGUGAGUGAUACUCUUUGGAGUUAACUUGAAAUUGCUGGCCUUUUCAUUGGAUGUUUUUUUUCCAAAGAGAGGUUUCUCUGCGUGCUUGAGGUAUAAUGCAAGUACGGUCGUUUUAGGUUUUACCAACUGCGGCUAAUCUUUUUUUAUACUGAGCGUAUUGGAACGUUAUCGAUAAGAAGAGAGCGUCUAGGCGAACAAUGUUCUUAAAGUUUGACCUCAAAUCAGGUAGGAGUACCCGCUGAACUUAAGCAUAUCAAUAAGCGGAG